RNAcentral lists this unclassified non-coding RNA (282 nucleotides) under Hevea brasiliensis (rubber tree). Lineage: Eukaryota; Viridiplantae; Streptophyta; Magnoliopsida; Malpighiales; Euphorbiaceae. The record is from RNAcentral.
UAAGCAUUUGGACAUUGAUUGUCAGUUGGUUAGGGAACAAUUGCAGUGUGGUUUUAUUUUGCCUUCUCAUGUUUCUUCUUUUCAGCAGCUUGUAGAUUUGUUUACAAAGCCUUUACUUGCUGCUUCUUAUCAUUCGUUAGUAUCCAAGUUGGAUCUUGUGAACCUUUCCCAUGAUCCAACUUGAGGGGGGAUAUUGGUAUAAUUGAGAGUUUGUUUGUUCCCCCAAAAGGAUUAGUUAAGUUAUUGUUAGCUUCUUUAAUGUUCAUUGACAGCUCAUGUGAG